This 235-nucleotide long non-coding RNA is filed under the name Elaeis guineensis (African oil palm). Its description in RNAcentral is "long non-coding RNA (EGUI_LNC067556)". The record is from RNAcentral. Lineage: Eukaryota; Viridiplantae; Streptophyta; Magnoliopsida; Arecales; Arecaceae.
GCUAUACAUAAAACUAAAGCUAAGAAUUCCUUUAAUAUCUAUUUAGCGGAUAUAGGUGAUGACAAUAUAUUUUUGAAUAUUGAUGUGUAUCAAGAGGAUGAUAUUGCAAACCCAUUUGUAGUUCAGGCUAAUGAAGAACUUGACACGCCUAUUUGUAAGUUGAUUUCUCUCAAUUUGAAAUACUAGAUGAUGACGAGAUACGUAAGUUACAAUAAAGACUAGAAGAAGUGGUAGU